UGGGGAAUAUUGGACAAUGGGGGCAACCCUGAUCCAGCAAUGCCGCGUGUGUGAAGAAGGCCUUCGGGUUGUAAAGCACUUUCGGUGGGGACAAACAAGGCGGAGCUAACAUCUCCGUCCCUGAUGGUACCCAAAGAAGAAGCACCGGCUAACUCUGUGCCAGCAGCCGCGGUAAUACAGAGGGUGCAAGCGUUAAUCGGAAUUACUGGGCGUAAAGGGUGCGUAGGUGGUUUGUUAAGUCAGGCGUGAAAUCCUCGGGCUCAACCUGGGAACUGCGCUUGAUACUGGCAGACUCGAGUGUGGUAGAGGAUAGUGGAAUUCCCGGUGUAGCGGUGAAAUGCGUAGAUAUCGGGAGGAACAUCAGUGGCGAAGGCGGCUAUCUGGACUAACACUGACACUGAGGCACGAAAGCGUGGGUAGCAAACAGG
Molecule: ribosomal RNA, 428 nt
Filed under: uncultured bacterium
Lineage: Bacteria
Description: bacterial SSU rRNA
Rfam family: Bacterial small subunit ribosomal RNA
Source: RNAcentral